RNAcentral lists this long non-coding RNA (719 nucleotides) under Marmota monax (woodchuck). The record is from RNAcentral. Lineage: Eukaryota; Metazoa; Chordata; Mammalia; Rodentia; Sciuridae.
GACACCAGUGUGCUUCCGCCUCAAGGCCUCACUUGUCAUGCCUUGGACGGUUUCCCUGAAUGCCUUCAUGACUUGGUCAGACUUUGCCUCUGCUGACUCCCAGGAGUGCACCCCGCAGGCCCUCCCCUCCACCUUCCCAGAACAUUUAACCCUUCUGACACUUGACACUAAGGGUGAGCUUCAUGACAAGAGGGACCUGUCUUGUUCUCUGAUGGCAAGUGUCAUAAUGAGUGCUCAGGCAAUUCAGUGAAUGGGUUGGUUGUCUGAGAUACAAAGGGAGACCAUGAUUUUGAAAAUGAUGUACUGCGAGAACCAAAUCGACUUGGCGUGCAUCAGCACCUGCAGUGAGAUUAAAAGCACGGCCUCCAUAACUCAAGAAGUCACAGAAAAGCAAAGGUCAAGCACGUUAAUGCAUCUGGAAGACAAUUUAGGUCCGAAAAAAGAAGGACAAGGUAAAAUAAUUUGCCAGGAGGCAGGUUGCACAAAUACUAAGCCCUUCACUGAAGCAGUAAGUGGUGGAAUUCCCUGAAGAAAACCAGUGAUGGAGAAGAGAGGCUCAGGAGGCUGCCCCAGAGCAGAGGGGAGGUCACCCUGUAAAUGAAGAGGGUGAGGACGGAGCUAGGAGGGGAGAAAAAGAAGAAGAUAACAAGAAUCACAUGGUGCCCCCCCAAAUAGAAUGAGCAUCGUGGGUUUUUUGUCUUAUUAAAACUCAAAGUCCU